GACGAACGCUGGCGGCGUGCCUAAUACAUGCAAGUAGAACGCUGAAGGCGGAGCUUGCUUCUCUGGAUGAGUUGCGAACGGGUGAGUAACGCGUAGGUAACCUGCCUGGUAGCGGGGGAUAACUAUUGGAAACGAUAGCUAAUACCGCAUAAUAUUUACUAUUGCAUGAUAGUCAGUUGAAAGGUGCAACUGCACGACUACCACAUGGAGCUGCGUUGUAUUAGCUAGUUGGUGGGGUAACGGCUCACCAAGGCGACGAUACAUAGCAGACCUGCGAGGGUGGGCGGCCAGACUGGGACUGAGACACGGCACAGACUGAUAGAGGAGGCAGCCGUAGUGAUUCUUGGGCAAUGGGCGGAAGACUGACCGAGAAAGGCGGAGGGAGUGUAGAAGGUUGUCGGAUCGUAGAGCUCGGUUGUAAGGGAAGAACGAGUGUGAGAGUGGAAAGAUCAGUCUGUGACGGUAACUUAUCAGGAAGGAACGGCUAACUACGUG
This 495-nucleotide ribosomal RNA is filed under the name uncultured bacterium. Its description in RNAcentral is "partial 16S ribosomal RNA". It matches the Rfam family "Bacterial small subunit ribosomal RNA", at positions 28 to 507 of the family's 1533-position model. The record is from RNAcentral.